AUUGAACGCUGGCGGCAUGCUUUACACAUGCAAGUCGAACGGUAACAGGCCGCAAGGUGCUGACGAGUGGCGAACGGGUGAGUAAUGUAUCGGAACGUGCCCAGUCGUGGGGGAUAACGCAGCGAAAGCUGCGCUAAUACCGCAUACGAUCUAUGGAUGAAAGCGGGGGACCGUAAGGCCUCGCGCGAUUGGAGCGGCCGAUAUCAGAUUAGGUAGUUGGUGGGGUAAAGGCUCACCAAGCCAACGAUCUGUAGCUGGUCUGAGAGGACGACCAGCCACACUGGGACUGAGACACGGCCCAGACUCCUACGGGUGGCAG
RNAcentral lists this ribosomal RNA (319 nucleotides) under uncultured Pseudomonadota bacterium. Its description in RNAcentral is "bacterial SSU rRNA". It matches the Rfam family "Bacterial small subunit ribosomal RNA", at positions 30 to 351 of the family's 1533-position model. Lineage: Bacteria; Pseudomonadati; Pseudomonadota. The record is from RNAcentral.